Molecule: transfer RNA, 80 nt
Filed under: Guillardia theta
Lineage: Eukaryota; Cryptophyceae; Pyrenomonadales; Geminigeraceae
Description: transfer RNA-Ser (AGA)
Rfam family: tRNA
About the family: Transfer RNA (tRNA) molecules are approximately 80 nucleotides in length. Their secondary structure includes four short double-helical elements and three loops (D, anti-codon, and T loops).
Source: RNAcentral
GCACACGUGGCCGAGUGGUUGGCGAGAGAUUAGAAAUCUCUUGGGUACUACCUUCGCAAGUUCGAAUCUUGCCGUGUGCG